GUUGCUUGCACGUUGCUUGCGAAUCUUGCGAUUGCUAAUAAUUGUAUGAAAAUAAGAUUGAUUUGAUUUGUGAUAUUUCUCCAAAAGCCAUACAGAAUGACUGAUCUCCUAUGUAGAAUAUGCCUGGCACGUGAUACUCGUAUGUGUACAACGUACAACACGCCACUGGAAGUGCUUUAUCAAAAAAUCACAAAUAUACCUCUUAAAACAAAAGACGGAAGACCACACAUGGUGUGUUACGUCUGCUACCAUUUAUUAAGCAAGUAUCACAAAUUCAUUGAAAGUGCCGUUAAAACUGACAAAGUUCUUCAACGACUAUGUAGCAGUGGUAUACAGUUAACCGAGCAGCAUAUUGCAGCGAUAGACAAGGUUUUCUUACUCACACCAUUAACUAAGUCACGCGUUAUAAAUGUAAACGCAAUAAGCGAUUCAGACGGAGUCAGUAUAGAAGUGGCUGAAGUCAAGAGAGAAAUUGAAGAAGAUAAGCCUAUAUAUUAUGAGGUGGAAGUUAAAGAAA
This is a long non-coding RNA of Ostrinia nubilalis (European corn borer), 517 nucleotides long. RefSeq lists it as uncharacterized. The transcript has 3 exons. The record is from RefSeq and is a predicted model, not a curated record. NCBI's taxonomy places the organism in Eukaryota, Metazoa, Arthropoda, Insecta, Lepidoptera, Crambidae.